GACGAACGCUGGCGGCGUGCUUAAUACAUGCAAGUCGAACGGAAAGGCCCUGCUCUUGUGGGGCGCUCGAGUGGCGAACGGGUGAGUAACACGUGAGUAACCUGCCCUUGACUUUGGGAUAACUUCAGGAAACUGGGGCUAAUAUCGGAUAGGAGCUCCUGCUGCAUGGUGGGGGUUGGAAAGAUUCGGCGGUUGGGGCUGGACUCGCGGCUUAUGAGCUUGUUGGUGGGGUAGUGGCUUACCAAGGCUUUGACGGAUAGGCGGCCUGAGAGGGUGGCCGGCCACAAUGGGACUGCGAUACGGCCCAGUAGCCUACGGGACGCAGCAGUGGGGAGUAUUGCGCAGUGGGCGGAAGCCUGAUACGGCAGCGCCGCGUGCGUGAUGACGGCCUUCGGGUUGUAAACAGCUUUCGCAGGAGACAAAGCGUGAGUGACGGUAAUGGGUAAAAAAGCACCGGCUAACUACGUG
This 468-nucleotide ribosomal RNA is filed under the name uncultured bacterium. Its description in RNAcentral is "partial 16S ribosomal RNA". It matches the Rfam family "Bacterial small subunit ribosomal RNA", at positions 28 to 507 of the family's 1533-position model. The record is from RNAcentral.